RNAcentral lists this ribosomal RNA (294 nucleotides) under uncultured bacterium. RNAcentral describes it as "partial 16S ribosomal RNA". It matches the Rfam family "Bacterial small subunit ribosomal RNA", at positions 30 to 329 of the family's 1533-position model. The record is from RNAcentral.
CCUGAACGCUGGCGGCGUGGCUAAGACAUGCAAGUCGCACGGAUGUAGCAAUACAUCAGUGGCGGACGGGUGAGUAAUUUAUCGCUAAUGUACCCUUGAGCCUGGGAUAGCUGUCCGAAAGGGCAGGUAAUACCAGAUGAAAUGAGCUUGUCGCAUGACAGGAAUCUCAAAGCAGCAAUGCACUCUUGGAGCAGGCGAUAUCGUAUCAGCUAGUUGGUGAGGUAACGGCUCACCAAGGCGAUGACGCGUAGCUGGUCUGAGAGGACGACCAGCCACAUCGGGACUGAGACACUG